AUGCGGCGGUGCCGGGGCGCAGGGCUGGCGGGGCUGGCUGUGCUGCUGCUGGUGGCUGUGGGCAGAGCCCAGGUGCUGCAGGAGCCGUCAGCAGAGACCACCGAGGGCACCGAAAUCAACCUCACUUGCUCGCACCCCAGUAUCCGAACCACGGAGUUCAUCUACUGGUACCGCCAGCUCCCGGGACGAGGCCCCGCUUUCCUCCUGAGCACUCACAAAGACUCCAAAGAGCUGCGGGACCCGCCGGGGCGGCUGUGGGUGUCGGCAGACCGCCGCUCCAGCGCCCUGUGGCUCGCCCGGCCCCGGCGCGGGGACGCGGCGGUGUAUUACUGCCUACACACUUACAACUUGAAUCCUCCAGCUCCACACUCUGCUUCUGGGGUGCUCCUGCUGGUGUUGCACAGGCAUCCUGUGGAGCCUGCAGUUCUACAUCGGCACCAACUUGAGAAGGAGAUACUGAUUGUCACAGACACCUUCAAGUGUCUCCUGCAGUGCCUGGUGAUCAGAACAUAG
Molecule: non-coding RNA, 513 nt
Organism: Chroicocephalus ridibundus (black-headed gull)
Lineage: Eukaryota; Metazoa; Chordata; Aves; Charadriiformes; Laridae
Source: the annotation of a RefSeq genome assembly